RNAcentral lists this ribosomal RNA (390 nucleotides) under uncultured bacterium. RNAcentral's name for it is "partial 16S ribosomal RNA". It matches the Rfam family "Bacterial small subunit ribosomal RNA", at positions 523 to 917 of the family's 1533-position model. The record is from RNAcentral.
AUACGUAGGGGGCAAGCGUUAUCCGGAAUUACUGGGCGUAAAGGGUGCGUAGGUGGCCUGACAAGUCAGGGGUCAAAGGCAACGGCUCAACCGUUGUAAGCCCUUGAAACUGUCGGGCUUGAGUUCAGGAGAGGAAAGCGGAAUUCCUAGUGUAGCGGUGAAAUGCGUAGAUAUUAGGAGGAACACCAGUGGCGAAGGCGGCUUUCUGGUCUGAUACUGACACUGAGGCACGAAAGCGUGGGGAGCAAACAGGAUUAGAUACCCUGGUAGUCCACGCCGUAAACGAUGAGUACUAGGUGUCGGCCCUAAGGGUCGGUGCCGCAGUUAACACAUUAAGUACUCCGCCUGGGAAGUACGCUCGCAAGAGUGAAACUCAAAGGAAUUGACGGG